UUUCGCAAUGCCCGAAAGGGUGACGAAGCGACGCCGCGUGUGGGAAGAAGGCCUUCGGGUUGUAAACCACUGUCGGGAGUUAGGAAAUGUAAGGGUGCUAAUAGUAUCCUUACUUGACUAAGGCUCCAGAGGAAGCCACGGCUAACUCUGUGCCAGCAGCCGCGGUAAUACAGAGGCGGCAAGCGUUGUUCGGAAUUAUUGGGCGUAAAGAGCACGUAGGCGGCCUUGUAAGUCAGUUGUGAAAGCCUUCUGCUUAACGGAAGAACAGCAGCUGAUACUGCAAGGCUAGAGUGCGGAAGGGGAGAGUGGAACUUCUGGUGGAGCGGUGAAAUGCGUAGAUAUCAGAAGGAACACCGGCGGCGAAGGCGACUCUCUGGUCCGUAACUGACGCUGAGUGUGCGAAAGCUAGGGGAGCAAACGGGAUUAGAUACCCCGGUAGUCCUAGCCGUAAACGAUGGGCACUAAGUAGAGGGGUUUUA
This 479-nucleotide ribosomal RNA is filed under the name uncultured anaerobic ammonium-oxidizing bacterium. Its description in RNAcentral is "bacterial SSU rRNA". It matches the Rfam family "Bacterial small subunit ribosomal RNA", at positions 364 to 833 of the family's 1533-position model. The record is from RNAcentral.